AGUGAACGCUGGCGGUAGGCCUAACACAUGCAAGUCGAACGGCAGCACAGUAAGAGCUUGCUCUUACGGGUGGCGAGUGGCGGACGGGUGAGGAAUACAUCGGAAUCUACUUUUUCGUGGGGGAUAACGUAGGGAAACUUACGCUAAUACCGCAUACGACCUACGGGUGAAAGCAGGGGAUCUUCGGACCUUGCGCGAUUGAAUGAGCCGAUGUCGGAUUAGCUAGUUGGCGGGGUAAAGGCCCACCAAGGCGACGAUCCGUAGCUGGUCUGAGAGGAUGAUCAGCCACACUGGAACUGAGACACGGUCCAGACUCCUACGGGAGGCAGCAGUCGGGAAUAUUGGACAAUGGGCGCAAUCCUGAUCCAGCCAUACCGCGUGGGUGAAGAAGGCCUUCGGGUUGUAAAGCCCUUUUGUUGGGAAAGAAAAGCAGCAGGUUAAUACCCCGCUGUUCUGACGGUACCCAAAGAAUAAGCACCGGCUAACUUCGUG
RNAcentral lists this ribosomal RNA (492 nucleotides) under uncultured bacterium. Its description in RNAcentral is "partial 16S ribosomal RNA". It matches the Rfam family "Bacterial small subunit ribosomal RNA", at positions 29 to 507 of the family's 1533-position model. The record is from RNAcentral.